Molecule: ribosomal RNA, 465 nt
Filed under: uncultured bacterium
Lineage: Bacteria
Description: partial 16S ribosomal RNA
Rfam family: Bacterial small subunit ribosomal RNA
Source: RNAcentral
GACGAACGCUGGCGGCGUGCUUAACACAUGCAAGUCGUACGGUAGGGCCCUUGCGGGGGUCCACGAGUGGCGGACGGGCGGGUAACACGUGAGUAACCUGCCCACCACUUUGGGAUAACGCUAGGAAACUGGCCCUAAUACUGGAUAUGUGCUCCUGCUGCAGGGUGGGGGUUGGAAAGCUCCGGCGGUUGUGGGUGUACUCGCGGCCUAUCUGCUUGUUGGGGGGGUAGUGGCGUACCAAGGCGGCGACGGGUAGCCGGACUGAGAGAGUGACCGGCCGCACUGGGUCCGAGAGACGGCCCAGGCUGCGACGGUAGGCAGAAGUGGGGAAUAUUGAACAAGGGGCGCAGGCCUGAUGAAGAAGCGCCGCGGGCGGGAUAACGGCCUUGGGGUUGAAGACCGCUUUCAGCAGGAACGAGGCGUUUUGUGACGGUACCUGAAGAAGAAGCACCGGCUAACUACGUG